GAUGAACGCUGGCGGCGUGCCUAAUACAUGCAAGUCGAGCGAACAGACGAGGAGCUUGCUCCUCUGACGUGAGCGGCGGACGGGUGAGUAACACGUGGAUAACCUACCUAUAAGACUGGGAUAACUUCGGGAAACCGGAGCUAAUACCGGAUAAUAUAUUGAACCGCAUGGUUCAAUAGUGAAAGACGGUUUUGCUGUCACUUAUAGAUGGAUCCGCGCCGCAUUAGCUAGUUGGUAAGGUAACGGCUUACCAAGGCAACGAUGCGUAGCCGACCUGAGAGGGUGAUCGGCCACACUGGAACUGGGACACGGUCCAGACUCCUACGGGAGGCAGCAGUAGGGAAUCUUCCGCAAUGGGCGAAAGCCUGACGGAGCAACGCCGCGUGAGUGAUGAAGGUCUUCGGAUCGUAAAACUCUGUUAUUAGGGAAGAACAAAUGUGUAAGUAAAUAUGCACGUCUUGACGGUACCUAAUCAGAAAGCCACGGCUAACUACGUG
This 497-nucleotide ribosomal RNA is filed under the name uncultured bacterium. RNAcentral's name for it is "partial 16S ribosomal RNA". It matches the Rfam family "Bacterial small subunit ribosomal RNA", at positions 28 to 507 of the family's 1533-position model. The record is from RNAcentral.